CCUUGGGACUGGCUCAGAGAGGUCGGCAACGACCACUCAGAGCCGGAAACUUGGUCAAACUUGGUCAUUUAGAGGAAGUAAAAGUCGUAACAAGGUCUCCGUAGGUGAACCUGCGGAGGGAUCAUUAUCGAGUUAGGGUCUUUUAUAGGCCCGACCUCCAACCCUGUGUCUACCUAACCUCACGUUGCUUCGGCGGGCCCGUCCCCUGAUAAACAGGGGCAACCGCCGGUGGCCACCAAACCAAAUACUUGUUGAACCGUGGCGUCUGAGUGGAAAGAAUUAAUAACUAAAAAACUUUCAACAACGGAUCUCUUGGUUCUGGCAUCGAUGAAGAACGCGGCGAAAUGCGAUAAGUAAUGCGAAUUGCAGAAUCCGUGAGUCAUCGAAUCUUUGAACGCAUAUUGCGCCCUUUGGUAUUCCGAAGGGCAUGCCUGUUCGAGCGUCAUUAUCACCCCUCGAGCCCCCCGGCUUGGUGUUGGGUCUUCGUUGUACACCACCUACAACGGGCCUUAAAGACAGUGGCGGCGUCCCAGAGGGAACCGGUACGAGGAGCUUCUAAUCAAGCAUGUACGCGGGAAGACUCUUGCGGACGACGGGUCUUUUGCUAAAAACUUUUUUCAAGUGUUGACCUCGGAUCAGGUAGGAAUACCCGCUGAACUUAAGCAUAUCAAUAAGCGGAGGAAAAGAAACCAACAGGGAUUGCCCCAGUAACGGCGAGUGAAGCGGCAACAGCUCAAAUUUGAAAUCUGGCUUCUGUGGAGCCCGAGUUGUAAUUUGUAGAGGAUGUUUCGGGUACCGCGACGGCUUAAAUUUCUUGGAACAGAAUG
This 827-nucleotide ribosomal RNA is filed under the name uncultured fungus. RNAcentral's name for it is "eukaryotic LSU rRNA". The stretch from base 626 to 827 matches the Rfam family "Eukaryotic large subunit ribosomal RNA", at positions 1 to 202 of the family's 3401-position model. The record is from RNAcentral. Lineage: Eukaryota; Fungi.